GAGCUGGGAGAGUUUGAGAAAGAUCAAGAAAGGGAAAGGCUAGUAGAGGAGAGAAUCAGUUCAUCUAAAAGUGGAAAUCAAACAAGGAUUUAAUAUUUGUUCAAGUCCAUUAAGAAGGGAGCCAAGGAAGAAGCAAGGGGAAGUUAGUACGGAAGAAAAAGCAAAAGCAAGAGCAAGUACUCCUAAGGGCAAGGGAGUAGUGAUUGGUGGAGUUUAAAGGUGCAGGAAGC
This is a long non-coding RNA of Neltuma alba, 230 nucleotides long. RefSeq lists it as uncharacterized. The record is from RefSeq and is a predicted model, not a curated record. Lineage: Eukaryota; Viridiplantae; Streptophyta; Magnoliopsida; Fabales; Fabaceae. The transcript is spliced from 3 exons.